RNAcentral lists this long non-coding RNA (2019 nucleotides) under Lactuca sativa (garden lettuce). RNAcentral describes it as "long non-coding RNA (LSAT_LNC003070)". The record is from RNAcentral. Lineage: Eukaryota; Viridiplantae; Streptophyta; Magnoliopsida; Asterales; Asteraceae.
UUCGUCAGUAGUUGAAAAGUCAAAGAUGGAAUUUUGAAUAAGUCAAUCACAGCGUGUUAUCAUCAUCUUCCCUUAAAUUUCAGCUGGUGGAGAUGAAAACCUGCUCAAACAACUCAACAAAUUGAUAUUUCAUUGAAUCCUUGUGGUUCCUAUGGAUCUGUACAUCUUUUCGUCCACAUUUGCUCUACUAAGUCCCUCUCUCUUACUCACCGGUCACAUCCACUGUCUCCGCACCACUAACACCGUCGUUCCACUUCUCCAACCUCACUUCUCUAACACGAACCUGCUCCUGCAUUCUCCGCCUCUUUCAUUUGUCCUUUCUCUUUCAGGAUGAAUUGGGUUGCUAAACUGUACUCUUUAAUGAACGACCACCAAAUACAGAUUCACCAAGGUACCCCCUUAUCUUCGUAUUUGGGAACACUUUUUGUAUUAGAGACGCAAAAGGGUUCUCUUUGUUUCUGUCUAUCUCGCUCCAUUCAAGAUCAUGAGAAACUUUUCAUGUGACUUUUUUGUUACCUUUUCAUUAUCAGAUUUUUUUUUUGUUGUAGGAUAAAAUCAGGAAGACCAAUAAGAAAUAAAAAUAUCUAUGUGUGUGUAACGAUAUCAUGCUCCAAACCUCAUUCUCAAUCUCGAUUUCAAUCCUUGAAACUUACUCUCGAUCUUGAUAUUCUACAGAUAAGAGACAACUACAAUUUCAAGCCCUAAAUUUCAAAGGUAAGCAACGAUUUCAAUCCCUAAAAAUCACUCUUGAUCUCGAUUUCAAGCUCUAAACCACAAUCUCGAUUUUGAUUUUGAUGUUUUGCAGAUAGGAGAUAAGAUAUGAUUCCAUGACCUAAGCAUCUCUCUCUCUCUCUCUCUCUCUCUCUCUCUCUCUCUCUCUCUCUGGUUUACCAUCAAGGACACAAAACGUUACGAUUUCGUGUUUUUUCUUUUCUUCUUUUGAUUUGUUGCAUAAACAUCAAUUUUUGCUACAUAAAUUUAAAACUUAAAGGUAUUUUGAGGAAUUUAAGGGUUGGAUUUCGUAUAUGUGUGUAUGUUUAACAGGUGAACCUAAAAAGUAGAAGGUUUGAAAAUGGUUAAAGGCAAUUAACAGGUAUGUAUUUUUGUAUGUAGGUGUGUGUGUGUGUGUGUAUUUAUGUAGGAGUCUAAUGUGCAUAUGUUUAUAUCCAGGUGGUUUUAUUUGUUUUUGUGUGUUUUUAUGUAGGUGUGUGUAUCUGUGUUGGUGUAUAUAUAAGGUAAUAGCCUAUGAUUUUUGUUCUUCUCGUUGGAAGGGUAUUUUCUGUGGAUGAAUCUGAUUAUAAAUUUACUUUAAAGCUGAACAUCUAUCUGUAGAUGAGUGGCUAUAGGUUUGUGGUUUUCAUGCUAUAUCUCCUUAAAUGCCAAAGCUUGCUUAUAUUGUAUUCUCUUUUCUAUGAAAAUUCUGUAAUUAAACUUCUGAACAUAUAUUUCUGAAUGAAGGAUAAAAUAGGAGUAAAGGAAUAUGGAAAUGGAAUGGGAAUCAGUAGAUGCCAAUCAUAUUCUAUGGAGAGGUUUGUUAAUUUGUUUUAUCUUAAUUUUUAUGAAAACAAUUUAAGUCGACUUCUAAUCGUUACUAUUCAUAAGAUGGGCUGGUUUUAAUAUAUAAUUUUUUUCAAGAUGGUGAUUUUAAUGAGUUACUGAUUUGUAAUUUAUAAGAGGUCCUGCAUCUACUAAAACAUUUUGAGUUUUGAGAAUUUCAUUUUCUGGUUUAUAUUUCUUUGUUCUUGUAUUUGUACGUGAGUUUUUUUCUCACAGUUUGAGUUUUCUGAUUAUGUUCCCCUGUCACUUUUCAUUCAGAUUAAACCGCAUGGAGUUGUUUCUAACUUACACCGUAUAGUUGAAAGUAUUUAAUUUUCCCUUCUAGGUUAAAUGUUAUAAAACACUUCAAAUGGUCAAAAAGUAUGUGUUUGUAAUGUGUGUGUCUGUAAUGUGUUUAUGUGUGUGCGUUCUACGUUAGUGUCUCCAAUUUAUAUUAAAUGAAGUAAUUUCGUUUAAAAUUGA